RNAcentral lists this ribosomal RNA (253 nucleotides) under uncultured bacterium. RNAcentral's name for it is "partial 16S ribosomal RNA". It matches the Rfam family "Bacterial small subunit ribosomal RNA", at positions 524 to 776 of the family's 1533-position model. The record is from RNAcentral.
UACAGAGACUGCAAGCGUUAUUCGGAUUCACUGGGCGUAAAGGGUGCGCAGGCGGCCGUGUGUGCCAGGUGUGAAAGCCCGGAGCUUAACUCCGGAAUUGCGCCUGAAACUACAUGGCUAGAGCAUUGGAGAGGGUAGCGGAAUUCACGGUGUAGCAGUGAAAUGCGUAGAUAUCGUGAGGAACACCAGAGGCGAAGGCGGCUACCUGGACAAUUGCUGACGCUCAGGCACGAAAGCGUGGGGAGCAAAAGGG